RNAcentral lists this long non-coding RNA (1515 nucleotides) under Prunus persica (peach). RNAcentral's name for it is "long non-coding RNA (PPER_LNC000667)". Lineage: Eukaryota; Viridiplantae; Streptophyta; Magnoliopsida; Rosales; Rosaceae. The record is from RNAcentral.
AAAACCAGAGAAGAGAUAUAGAUAUACUAGAGAAGAGAUCAAAUUCAAGAAAAACAACAAAAUUACAAGAAGAGAGGAACCCAAUCAAAACCAGAGAAUUUUGAUUUUGAUUUUGAAUUUUGGUGUUUUGAGGGUUUUUCAAGAAUCAAUAAUCAUCAUCUUCGAUCAUAAGUGAGCGGUGACCAUCAGAUCUAGAGUAUUUGGAGAGCGCCAACGAGUAGGGAUGUGAGCUGAAGCAGCAUGGCGGAGAUGGCGACGGCGGCAGAGUUGAUGGGUAAGGCGGAGAUGUCGGUGUAGUGGGACAUAGAGAACUUCCAGAUCCCCAAGGUCUGUGACACCCAUGCCAUCUCCCAGAACAUUAGUUCUGCACUCGUUAAGAUGAAGAAGAAGGGAGUGCUAGAGAUGAAGAGUCCAGGGAUGCUAGGGUUUUUUUAUUUUUUGUUUUUAAUAAUUAUUUUAAAAAAGAAAGAAAGAAAAAUAAAAUUCACAUGACAAUUUCAUUAAUUGACGUGGCAUGACCACAUCAGCUGCCACAUAAGAUGGUCAGCUAAUGUGGUCAAUUUUGUGUGUCUAAAUAGCAUUACUCUUAGAUUAAAGAAUGUAUUGGAAAAUAAUUCCAACUCGACCCAUUAUGUUGACCAUUUACUUACUCUCUACAAAACUUGAAGUUUAAAAGAAAGGUGCAAAACCCAUUUCUGUGAAGAGAAAGAGAAAUGAGUUUCACUACCCUUUUCAAUUUGCUAUGGAUGAAAAUCAUGGAAGAGACAAGCACAUUGACCUCACUUAGCUGCUUAGAGGAAAAAAAAAAAAAUUUCAUUUGCAAAUUAAUUACAGGUUCUUUUUCUUUUUCUUUUUUGUUCAGAAUUUUUCUUUUUCUUUUUCUUUUUUGAGUUUUCUUUUCUCCUUAAAAUAUAGGUGAGGGGUAGUUUAGUCAAUUUACAUACAAUUCGAUGCGUGAAAAAGAAACUGCGACCGCAUUUAAGUCGUGAGGCUCUUGCAACUGUCAUAUUUCAAAACCCUAUUUCCUAAUAGCUUUAGAAACGCCUAAAUGCUUCUCUUCUCUCCUAAUAGCUUUAGGCCCCGUUUGGGAUUGCUUUUUUUUGGCCAAAAACUUGCUUAACUUUAAAGUUAAGCAGUUUAAGGUGUUUGGUAAAAAUAAAAUAUCCUGCUUAUUUUAAAAGCAAUGGUAUUUUGACAGCCUCUCAAGGCUCAAUCUCUCUCAAUCUCUUUCACGAGGUAGAUUAUCAAUCUCGUCAAAGUUAUGGAUUAUAAUUUUCUGAGAUAUAUUUAUUCUUCAAUCUCUUCAAUCUCUUCAAUCUCUCGAAAUUUGCUGGGGUCACUAAAUAUAGCCACCAUUGAAGACCCAUAUGAUAUGCUUGGCUUAUGCACGAGUGAGUGAGGCUGGACACCUAGUGACCUUGCUGCAGCCACAUGGUUGAAUGGAAGCCCUAUUGAUGAUGUCAUCAUUGUGUGCUUUUAGAAUCAUUCAAAUUUGUUGCUGUGAGUAGAUAGAGA